UAAACCUUAAGUUAUAUAAACUAGAAAUCUUCCAAAUUUCCUAAAAGACUUCCUUAGGUUUAA
Molecule: transfer RNA, 63 nt
Filed under: Pseudocrangonyx joolaei
Lineage: Eukaryota; Metazoa; Arthropoda; Malacostraca; Amphipoda; Pseudocrangonyctidae
Description: tRNA-Gly
Source: RNAcentral